This 253-nucleotide ribosomal RNA is filed under the name uncultured bacterium. Its description in RNAcentral is "partial 16S ribosomal RNA". It matches the Rfam family "Bacterial small subunit ribosomal RNA", at positions 524 to 776 of the family's 1533-position model. The record is from RNAcentral.
GACAGAGGGUGCAAACGUUGUUCGGAAUUACUGGGCGUAAAGCGAGUGUAGGCGGUGUGGUAAGUCGGAUGUGAAAGCCCCGGGCUCAACCCGGGAAGUGCACUCGAUACUGCCACGCUAGAGUAUCGGAGAGGUUGGUGGAAUUCUCGGUGUAGAGGUGAAAUUCGUAGAUAUCGAGAGGAACACCGGUGGCGAAGGCGGCCAACUGGACGAAUACUGGCGCUGAGACUCGAAAGCGUGGGGAGCAAACAGG